Molecule: ribosomal RNA, 911 nt
Filed under: uncultured bacterium
Lineage: Bacteria
Description: bacterial SSU rRNA
Rfam family: Bacterial small subunit ribosomal RNA
Source: RNAcentral
ACGCUGGCGGCGUGCCUAAUACAUGCAAGUAGAACGCUGAAGGAGGAGCUUGCUUCUCUGGAUGAGUUGCGAACGGGUGAGUAACGCGUAGGUAACCUGCCUGGUAGCGGGGGAUAACUAUUGGAAACGAUAGCUAAUACCGCAUAAGAGUAGAUGUUGCAUGACAUUUGCUUAAAAGGUGCAAUUGCAUCACUACCAGAUGGACCUGCGUUGUAUUAGCUAGUUGGUGGGGUAACGGCUCACCAAGGCGACGAUACAUAGCCGACCUGAGAGGGUGAUCGGCCACACUGGGACUGAGACACGGCCCAGACUCCUACGGGAGGCAGCAGUAGGGAAUCUUCGGCAAUGGACGGAAGUCUGACCGAGCAACGCCGCGUGAGUGAAGAAGGUUUUCGGAUCGUAAAGCUCUGUUGUAAGAGAAGAACGAGUGUGAGAGUGGAAAGUUCACACUGUGACGGUAUCUUACCAGAAAGGGACGGCUAACUACGUGCCAGCAGCCGCGGUAAUACGUAGGUCCCGAGCGUUGUCCGGAUUUAUUGGGCGUAAAGCGAGCGCAGGCGGUUAGAUAAGUCUGAAGUUAAAGGCUGUGGCUUAACCAUAGUACGCUUUGGAGACUGUUUAACUUGAGUGCAAGAGGGGAGAGUGGAAUUCCAUGUGUAGCGGUGAAAUGCGUAGAUAUAUGGAGGAACACCGGUGGCGAAAGCGGCUCUCUGGCUUGUAACUGACGCUGAGGCUCGAAAGCGUGGGGAGCGAACAGGAUUAGAUACCCUGGUAGUCCACGCCGUAAACGAUGAGUGCUAGGUGUUAGACCCUUUCCGGGGUUUAGUGCCGCAGCUAACGCAUUAAGCACUCCGCCUGGGGAGUACGACCGCAAGGUUGAAACUCAAAGGAAUUGACGGGGGCCCGGACAA